This 291-nucleotide ribosomal RNA is filed under the name Klebsiella pneumoniae. RNAcentral describes it as "partial 23S ribosomal RNA". It matches the Rfam family "Bacterial large subunit ribosomal RNA", at positions 2640 to 2925 of the family's 2925-position model. The record is from RNAcentral. Lineage: Bacteria; Pseudomonadati; Pseudomonadota; Gammaproteobacteria; Enterobacterales; Enterobacteriaceae.
AUCUACCGUGGGCGCUGGAAAUUUGAGAGGAUCUGCUCCUAGUACGAGAGGACCAGAGUGGACGAACCUCUGGUGUACCGGUUGUGACGCCAGUCGCAUCGCCGGGUAGCUAUGUUCGGAAGGGAUAACCGCUGAAAGCAUCUAAGCGGGAAGCCUACCUCAAGAUAAGAUUUCCCUAGGACUUUAUGUCCUCUAAAGAGCCGUUCGAGACUAGGACGUUGAUAGGUUGGAUGUGGAAGCAUAGUGAUAUGUGAAGCUGACCAAUACUAAUUGCUCGUGAGGCUUGACUAU